Molecule: RNA transcript, 4352 nt
Organism: Zophobas morio
Lineage: Eukaryota; Metazoa; Arthropoda; Insecta; Coleoptera; Tenebrionidae
Gene: rdgB
Gene name: protein retinal degeneration B
Exons: 22
Source: RefSeq, a predicted model, not a curated record
UUUCUGUCAUCAUGAAUUUUUUGACGUUAUCAAAACUCAAAACAUGCAUAAAAUGUCAACACAGCAGCUAAGUGUUGAGUGCCAGCACUACCUAUGAGCGCUACCAACUGCAAGUGCUAGAAGUAGACGGCAAGUACGCGUUUAAAUGUGAUUACAAGGAACGUCGUGUGCUGUUGAUGUGAUGUAAAUUGAUGUAAAUGUAACAGAACGUGAUCUUGAAACUGUCAAAUGAGUUAAAGUUCAACUUCAAAGACCCUAACGAUAAAAUAAAAUUUGGCUUCAAAAUGAAUUAAUUCAACCUAACAUGUCAUUUGGAUAUCAACAGCCUUUUUUGGACAGUGGAAAAAAUAGUCCGAGUCCACGUUAUUUGUCACAUUUUUUAACCUCUUUCGGGAGCAAAACUACAUAAUUGGUAACAAGAUGCCGAUAUUUUGGGAUUGGUUACUGACAAUCUAAGGUGGACUAACGUCCUCGUCAGCCAUGCUCAUCAAGGAGUAUCGUAUUCCUCUGCCUCUUACGGUGGAGGAGUAUCGAAUUGCCCAGUUAUAUAUGAUCGCUAAAAAAAGUCGUGAAGAGAGUAGCGGAGCUGGAAGCGGCGUUGAAAUUUUAGUAAACGAACCUUACAAAGAUGGGCCUGGCGGACAAGGACAGUACACACACAAAAUUUAUCAUGUAGGCAGUCAUUUACCAGGAUGGCUGAAAGGAAUUCUUCCAAAAACAGCACUUAUGGUUGAAGAGGAAGCCUGGAAUGCUUAUCCCUAUACCAAAACAAGAUAUACUUGCCCUUUUGUUGAAAAAUUUUCUUUAGAAAUUGAAACUUAUUACUAUGAAGAUAAUGGGCAUCAAGAAAAUGUAUUUCAUUUAACAGGUGGUGAUCUCAGGAAUAGAAUUGUGGAUGUGAUAAAUGUUGUUAAGGAUCAAUUGUACGGUGCUGAUUAUUUAAAAAGUGAAGAUCCGUCUUUUUACAAGUCGGAAAAAUCGGGUAGAGGACCGUUGACUGAAAAUUGGUUAGAAGAUUAUUGGAGAGAAGUGCAAGGAAAGCCCCAACCAUUACCCAAUGGAAAAGCUUUAAUGUGCGCUUAUAAAUUAUGUAAGGUGGAAUUUAGAUAUUGGGGCAUGCAAACAAAAAUAGAAAAAUUUAUCCAUGAUAUAGCUCUUCGCAAAACAAUGCUUAGAGCGCAUAGACAAGCGUGGGCAUGGCAAGAUGAAUGGCAUGGUCUAACUAUGGAGGAUAUACGAGAAAUUGAAAAACAAACUCAGCUUGCAUUAAAAAGAAAAAUGGGACAGAAUGAGGAUGAGGAAAUUGAUGAAGAUGAUAAUUUAAAUAAUAGCACAUCCAAGGAAGAUCCUGUUAAAACUUUAGCAGCAACUCUUGGAAGUAUAGAAGUUUCAGAAGACAGUCCUUUAAUGACUAAAAAUGUAAACAUUCCUUCUAUUCAGACCGCAAUCAGUUCAGAUCCUGACCUCUCGCCAGACGACGAAAUAGCAGGAUGUCACAAACGUGAAGACAAAUGGCAACAACCUCGUGGAUUACACUCUCCAAGCUCAUCUUCUAUAAAAAGUUUUGAUUUACAAGUUGCGAAUUGGAGAAUAGAAAGUCUAGGCAGAGAUUCAGAGUCGGGAUCCGAUGAAGAAUUUUUCGAUUGUGAAGAUUCUUCAUCUCUGGCAAAGUGGAGUUCUUUGGACCUUUUAACAGAAGAAGAUAACGAUACUACCUCACCGACUGUUGUUAUUGAUAAAAAUGACGACAGCAUAUUUUCUCCUACAUUCCUACAAAGAGUGGCCAGCGAACGGAGCAGCCGGAAAUUAGUGCAAAGAGGAAAAGUAAAUUCCUUGGAUGCAUCAUGUCCGGAAUCUCCUAGUGCAUCUCCUGCGCAUUUGUCAUGUAAUACUACAGUAUUACUUUUGGUGCUUCACGCAGGAAGCGUUUUAGACGCCAACAUUGAUGUAGCUGCAAAGAAAUCUGACGUCACUACUUUACGAGGAGCAUUCGAAUCGGUUAUACGUCAACAUUAUCCCUCGCUAUUAGGUCAUAUUGCAAUAAGAUUGGUGUCUUGCCCGUCUAUUUGUACAGAAAGCCUUGCAAUUUUAUCUAGCCUUAGCCCGUAUAGUUUUGAUGUUUCGCCUUCUUGCAUAGAUGUACCUCAAAUCACGCAUGACUCUAUACCAAUUGGUGCUAUUCCAAUUCUAGCGACUUCAACAUCUGACUAUCAAGAAAUUGUGUCACGGACAAUCACUGCAGUAAACGCAACUUAUCAGGAAUUUUUGAAGUCAGAAGACGGUCAAGGCUUUACUGGACAAGUAUCCAUUGUUGCUGAUUCUAUAGGUUCAAUUUUAGCCUAUGACGCGCUCUGUAGAAGUACCAAAUAUCAGUCCAGACAUGGCAGUGAAAAUAGUAUUUUAGACAAUGAUAAUGGCCAAAAAGAUGAGGUGCAAGUAAAUGAGACAGGAUAUUUGACAGCUCCUUCUCCUCGCAGACGAUCGUCUUCAACAAGUGAACAAUCUAAUCAAAUGAAAUUCGAAUUUGACGUCACAGAUUUUUUUAUGUUUGGUAGUCCGUUAGCAUUAGUUUUAGCAUACAGAAAGGUAGCGGCCAUUGACGAGAAGUCGUAUGUUAUAACCCGUCCAAAUUGUCUUCAAGUUUACAAUUUGUUCCAUCCCACAGAUCCUGUAGCGGCACGUUUAGAACCACUUUUAUCGGCAAGAUUUUCAAUACUGCCACCAGUUAAUAUAGCUAGAUAUGCUAAGUAUCCCUUAGGAAACGGACAACCGUAUCAUUUAUUGGAAAUUCUUCAAACUAAUCCCCAAAUGUUUAGUGAUACUUCCCAACAUAGACGAUUAUCUGAAGUUUCUAUUCAGAGUACAGUUUCAGGACUAAUUGAUAAUAUUCCUCUGCAAGCUGUUAAUGCUUUGCAACAAAAAUGGUGGGGUGGGAAAAGAAUGGAUUAUGCUCUGUAUUGUCCAGAAGGUUUAUCUAACUUUCCUACAAAUGCAUUACCACAUCUAUUUCAUGCCAGUUAUUGGGAAAGUUGUGAUGUGAUCGCUUUCAUCCUGCGACAAGUAGGUGGAAUUGAAGCGGCACCGUUAUCAGGCGUUGAGGAUAGGGAAUUGUGUUUCAAACCUGGCCAACCUAGAGAAAAAUGGAUUAAAAAGAGAACGUCUGUUAAAGUUAAGAAUGUGACGGCCAAUCAUCGAGCAAAUGAUAUAAUUGUCCGAGAAGGUGCACCUCAACUUUUAAUGGCAAGAUUUAUGUAUGGUCCAUUAGAUAUGGUUGCUUUAACUGGCGAAAAAGUAGAUAUUCAUGUAAUGAGAGAUGUGAAUAUUGGAGAAUGGGUACAGAUUGCUACAGAAGUGACUGAUAAGGCGGGUAGAAUAACACAUACAAUUCCAGACGAAAAAUCAUUGGGGUACGGUUUAUAUCCGAUAAAGAUGGUUGUAAGAGGCGAUCACACAUCUGUUGAUUUCUUUAUGGCAGUAGUUCCUCCUAAAACUGAAUGUAUAGUAUUUAGUAUUGAUGGUUCCUUUACUGCUAGCAUGUCAGUUACUGGGAGAGAUCCCAAAGUUAGGGCAGGUGCAGUUGAUGUUGUAAGGCAUUGGCAAGAGCUGGGAUAUCUCAUCGUGUACAUAACUGGAAGACCUGACAUGCAGCACCGGCGAGUUGUUUCUUGGCUAUCGCAACAUAAUUUCCCCCAUGGACUUGUGUCAUUCGCAGAUGGUCUUUCUACAGAUCCUCUGGGACAUAAAGCCGCUUACUUACAUAACUUAAUCCAAAAUCACGGUGUAAUAAUUCAUUCCGCAUAUGGUAGCAGUAAAGACAUAAGUGUAUAUACCUCAGUUGGACUAAAACCAAAACAAAUAUUCAUCGUAGGAAAAGCGUCAAAAAAACAACAUGCUCAAGCUACAAUACUAAUUGAUGGUUACGCUGCUCAUCUUACAAAUUUGAUGGCCCACGGUGGAUCGAGGCCUGCUCAAGGAAAUGCCCGUAUGGUUAUACCACGGGGAUAUUUUGGUUUGCCGGGUCAAAGUUUUUCAAGGAGAAGAAGUGGUGUCACUGUUUCAGCCACGACACGGGCAUCUCAUCUCCUGCGCGCAACAGUGGCUUUCUGAAGCGCAAAGUUUACAUUAGUCAUGUCUAACAUUGACGAUAGUUACUUAGGAUAUGCCGAUCUGCAAAAAGGGCAACAUCUUACCCGAUAGCCACAGAAGUAGCACCACUGGAAAGAUCUCUAAGUACUCGACGUUAUCAGUUGCCAAAACCUACGCUUUCAACUAUUGGAAAUCAUAGUUCCGGAUAAUAGCUCCUAUUGAGCUCCAGAGUAUACAUGUAGUAUUAAAUAACACUUUUAGAUCUU